This 73-nucleotide transfer RNA is filed under the name Treponema sp. RNAcentral describes it as "tRNA-Phe". It matches the Rfam family "tRNA". From Rfam's summary of the family: Transfer RNA (tRNA) molecules are approximately 80 nucleotides in length. Their secondary structure includes four short double-helical elements and three loops (D, anti-codon, and T loops). Further hydrogen bonds mediate the characteristic L-shaped molecular structure. tRNAs have two regions of fundamental functional importance: the anti-codon, which is responsible for specific mRNA codon recognition, and the 3' end, to which the tRNAs corresponding amino acid is attached (by aminoacyl-tRNA synthetases). tRNAs cope with the degeneracy of the genetic code in two manners: having more than one tRNA (with a specific anti-codon) for a particular amino acid; and 'wobble' base-pairing, i.e. permitting non-standard base-pairing at the 3rd anti-codon position. The record is from RNAcentral. Lineage: Bacteria; Pseudomonadati; Spirochaetota; Spirochaetia; Treponematales; Treponemataceae.
GCCGCUGUAGCUCAGUUGGUAGAGCAAAGGACUGAAAAUCCUUGUGUCGAGGGUCCGAUUCCCUCUGGCGGCA